CAAUAGCGUAUAUUAAAGUUGUUGCAGUUAAAAAGCUCGUAGUUGGAUUUCUGGUGGGAGCGGUUGGUCUGCCCCGCGAGGGGUAGUUACUGAGCCGUAUCCGGCCCUUUUCGGGUUGACCGUGGCUGGCAUUAAUUUGUCGGUGCGGGAGGCCCGUCGUUUACUGUGAACAAAUUAGAGUGUUCAAAGCAGGGUGUUCUUGAAUACAUUAGCAUGGAAUAAUGAGAUAGGACUUUGGUGGUUCUCACUUUAUGUGGGAUAUUUUGUUGGUUUGCACGCCAAAGUAAUGAUUAAUAGGAGCAGUUGGGGGUAUUCGUAUUCAAUUGUCAGAGGUGAAAUUCUUGGAUUUCUAGAAGACGAACUACUGCGAAAGCAUUUACCAAGGAUGUUUUCAUUAA
Molecule: ribosomal RNA, 398 nt
Filed under: uncultured eukaryote
Lineage: Eukaryota
Description: partial 18S ribosomal RNA
Rfam family: Eukaryotic small subunit ribosomal RNA
Source: RNAcentral